UGCCAGUAUAGCGGUGCGGGACUUCUGGUCCGCCGCUAUACCUCCCUGUUGGACUGGCCGGGCUUCGUGCCCGGCCUCUUUU
Molecule: non-coding RNA, 82 nt
Filed under: Palleronia marisminoris
Lineage: Bacteria; Pseudomonadati; Pseudomonadota; Alphaproteobacteria; Rhodobacterales; Roseobacteraceae
Description: Singlet oxygen resistance RNA X
Rfam family: Singlet oxygen resistance RNA X
About the family: SorX (RSs2461)like SorY is a singlet oxygen induced sRNA that counteracts oxidative stress by targeting mRNA for a transporter in Rhodobacter. It also has an impact on resistance against organic hydroperoxides.
Source: Rfam by way of RNAcentral